GGGCCGGCUAUAGCCCAGCGGUUACUUCGGCCGAACAUGUUUCGCUCGCCCUCGGCUUCGCCGGGGGUUCGAACCCGCGGGCACCCCUGGCCCUUUU
This 97-nucleotide vault RNA is filed under the name Dromaius novaehollandiae (emu). Its description in RNAcentral is "Vault RNA (ENSDNVG00000006872.1)". It matches the Rfam family "Vault RNA". From Rfam's summary of the family: This family of RNAs are found as part of the enigmatic vault ribonucleoprotein complex. The complex consists of a major vault protein (MVP), two minor vault proteins (VPARP and TEP1), and several small untranslated RNA molecules. The record is from RNAcentral. Lineage: Eukaryota; Metazoa; Chordata; Aves; Casuariiformes; Dromaiidae.